This 103-nucleotide transfer RNA is filed under the name Nanobdellota archaeon. RNAcentral describes it as "tRNA-Pro". It matches the Rfam family "tRNA". Rfam says of the family: Transfer RNA (tRNA) molecules are approximately 80 nucleotides in length. Their secondary structure includes four short double-helical elements and three loops (D, anti-codon, and T loops). Lineage: Archaea; Nanobdellati; Nanobdellota. The record is from RNAcentral.
GGGGCUGUAGUGUAGCCUGGUAAAGUUAAACCAGCGUUGCUUUGGGUUACUAUCACUAAUGGUUUGGGACCAUUGAACCCCGGUUCGAAUCCGGGCAGCCCCA